AUGUGGCACAAGAGAGAACUAGUCUCUGCCACCACCGUGAAACAAGCCAAGCUCACUUGCCAAUGCCCUCUGGUGGCAGGGCGCUAUGAGCGAGGGAGGAGGAAUAGGGGGGUAGAAAUAGAAUCAUCUGAGUUGAGAAGAAUUACUAAUAAUUUUUCGGACGCCCAAAAAGUUGGAAGUGGUGGCUAUGGAGACGUUUACAAGGCAGUCUACAAUGGGGAAGCCAUGGCAGUGAAGUUGCUUCAUGCGACCAAAGGAAUUGAUGACAGACAAUUCAUGAAGGAACUCCGUAACCAUAUGAAGGUCCAACAUCCAAACAUUGUACGUCUAGUUGGGUAUUGCAAUGAAGAGACCAAGAAAUAUGUUGAGCUACCUGAUGGCACGUCUGUUUUUGGUAGACACAUAUACAAAGUGCUCUGCUUUGAAUAUAUGGUUGGUAGAAGCUUAGAUAAGCGUCUGUCAGGAAUUUCUCUAGGAGAUGAAUGGCGCACACAUUACCAAAUAAUAAAGGGGACUUGUGAAGGUUUGUUUUAUCUUCACAAUGGAUGUGAAAAUCGGAUCCUCCACUUGGAUCUAAAGCCUGCCAAUGUAUUACUUGACAAGAGCAUGAAACCGAAAAUUGCGGAUUUUGGAUUGUCAAGGAUCUACACCGCAAGCCGUAGCCAUAUCAAAGUUGAUUCAGUUUCAGGGACAACGAAAUACAUGCCGCCUGAAUUAAUACACGGGAGCGAGAUGUCAGAUAAGACUGAUGUCUAUGGUUUAGGUGUUACAAUCAUAGAAGUAUGUGCAUAUUGGAGGAAGAGGGAUAGCACAACAAAUUUAUAUCAAGUGGAGACAUGCGCCAAAAUUGCAGAUCUCUAUGCACUCACGGUGAAUUCAUCCCCGGUUCCAGACAAGAUGUCCAUUACCAUUUCAGGAAGGAGGGCACUGGAUGUGGUGAUUGUCUAUGCCUUUGACUGUACUGACUCAACCCCAGCCUGGUACACAGUGGAUAAUGGGAUCUUUUGGUUGGUGCAAGAAAAGCUAACCAACUUGUGUGAUAGUUGCAUGGGCUAUAUUUACCCCAUGUCAACCCCUAACACAUACACAUCGGACAUGAAAGUAGUUGACUCAGCUGAGACAAAGGAAACUGGCUACACGGGAUUCGCCUGGCGCAGGAUGACUUGCAGUAAAAAUAUGGCAUCAGGCCUUGCCGAGGCCCAUAAAAUGAUCAGCAAUCGUGGUUGCCACAACGGCAUCAUAUUGUUCUUCUCUGACGGCUUAAUAAACAAAGGGGACUUCUUUGAUGGAACAGAGAACUUUGUCUCCAAAGUGCCUGUCCACACAUUUACCCUCGGUGGGGACGCAUAUAACCGUGUUCUCAACUCCAUUGCGGCCAAUUCUCCAGGAGGGAUGUUUCACACUAGCAUCGUUCCAGAAAGGCCAAAUCUGUCAACACCCUUCUCAAAACUACUGGAUGGCCUCCUUGGCACUACCUCAAAGGGCGAUGCGAUGCCUCUUAGUUACAUUUCAGGAAGGGAUCCACUAGAUGUGGUGAUUGUGUAUGCCUUUGACUGCACUGAAUCAACCCCAGCCUGGUACACGAUGGAUAAUGGGAUCUUUUGGUUGCUUCAAGAGAAGUUGAUACACUUCCCUGAAAGUUGCAUGGGUUACAUCUACAUCGACAUGACCCCAAACACAUACACAUCCGACAUGAAAGUAGUUGACCCAAAUGAGACGAAGGAAACUGGCUACACGAGAUCCGCAUGGCGUAGAAUGUCCUGUACUAAAAACAUGUCAUCAGGACUUGCCGACGCGCAUAAAAUGAUCAGCAACCGCGGGCACCACAAUGGCAUCAUAUUGUUCUUCUCUGAUGGCUUGAUAAACAAGGGGGACUUCUUUGAUGGAACUGAAAACUUUGUCUCCAAAGUGCCUGUCCACACAUUUACCCUCGGCGGGGACGCAUAUAACCAUGUUCUCCACUCCAUUGCAACAAAUUCUCCAGGUGGGAAGUUCCACACCAGCCCUGUUCCAGAAAGGCCAAACUUGUCAACAUCCUUCUCCAAGCUACUGGAUAACCUACUUGGCAGAACCCGAGAGGAUGAUGAGAGGUCUGUUAGUUCCAUUUCAGGAAGGGAGCCACUAGAUGUGGUGAUUGUGUAUGCCUUUGAAUGCACUGAAUCAACCCCAUCCUGGUACACGGUCGAUAAUGGGAUCUUUUGGUUGCGUCAAGAGAAGUUGACGCACUACCCUGAAAGUUGCAUGGGUUACAUCUAUGUUGACAUGACCCCAAAUACAUACACAUCCGACAUGAAAGUAGUUGACCCAAAUGAGACGAAGGAAACUGGCUAUACGAGAUUCGCAUGGCGUAGGAUGACCUGUACUAAAAACAUGGCAUCAGGACUUGCCGACGCGCAUAAAAUGAUCAGGAACCGCGGGCACCACAAUGGCAUCAUCUUGUUCUUCUCUGAUGGCUUGAUAAACAAGGGGGACUUCUUUGAUGGAACUGAAAACUUUGUCUCCAAAGUGCCUGUUCACACAUUUACCCUCGGCGGGGACGCAUAUAACCAUGUUCUCCACUCCAUUGCAACAAAUUCUCCAGGUGGGAAGUUCCACACCAGCCCUGUUCCAGAAAGGCCAAACCUACCAACAUCCUUCUCCAAGCUACUGGAUAACCUACUUGGCGGAACCCCAAAGGAAGAUGAGAGGCCUGCUACUUCUAUUUCAGGAAGGGAGCCACUAGAUGUGGUGAUUGUGUAUGCCUUUGACUGCACGGAAUCAACCCCAGCCUGGUACACGGUGGAUAAUGGGAUCUUUUGGUUGCUUCAAGAUAAGUUAACGCACUUCCCUGAAAGUUGCAUGGGUUACAUCUAUGUUGACAUGACCCCAAACACAUACACAUCCGACAUGAAAGCAGUUGACCCAAAUGAGACGAAGGAAACUGGCUACACGAGAUUCGCAUGGCGCAGGAUGACCUGUACUAAAAACAUGGCAUCAGGACUUGCUGACGCGCAUAAAAUGAUCAGCAACCGCGGGCACCACAAUGGCAUCAUCUUGUUCUUCUCUGAUGGCUUGAUAAACAAGGGGGACUUCUUUGAUGGAACUGAAAACUUUGUCUCCAAAGUGCCUGUUCACACAUUUACCCUCGGCGGGGACGCAUAUAACAAUGUUCUCCACUCCAUUGCAACAAAUUCUCCAGGUGGGAAGUUCCACACCAGCCCUGUUCCAGAAAGGCCAAACCUAUCAACAUCCUUCUCCAAGCUACUGGAUAACCUACUUGGCGGAACCCCAGAAGAUGAUGAGAGGCCUAUUAGUUCCAUUUCAGGAAGGGAGCCACUAGAUGUGGUGAUUGUGUAUGCCUUUGACUGCACGGAAUCAACCCCAGCCUGGUACACGGUGGAUAAUGGGAUCUUUUGGUUGCUUCAAGAGAAGUUGACGCACUUCCCUGAAAGUUGCAUGGGUUACAUCUACGUCGACAUGACCCCAAACACGUACACAUCAGACAUGAAAGUAGUUGACCCAAAUGAGACGAAGGAAACUGGCUACACAAGAUUCGCAUGGCGUAGGAUGACCUGUACUAAAAACAUGGCAUCAGGACUUGCAGAGGCGCAUAAAAUGAUCAACAACCGCGGGCACCACAAUGGCAUCAUCUUGUUCUUCUCUGAUGGCUUGCUAAACAAGGGGGACUUCUUUGAUGGAACUGAAAAUUUUGUCUCCAAAGUGCCUGUCCACACAUUUACCCUCGGCGGAGAUGCAUAUAACCAUGUUCUCCACUCCAUUGCAACAAAUUCUCCAGGUGGGAAGUUCCACACCAGCCCCGUCCCAGAAAGGCCAAACCUAUCAACAUCCUUCUCCAAGCUACUGGAUAGCCUACUUGGUGGAACCCCAGAGGAUGAUGAGAGGCCUGUUAGUUCCAUUUCAGGAAGGGAGCCACUUGAUGUGGUUAUUGUGUAUGCCUUUGACUGCACUGACUCAACCCCAGCCUGGCACACAGUGGAUAGUGGGGUCUUUUGGUUGGUGCAAGAGAAGCUGACCCAUUUUCCUGAUAGUUGCAUGGGUUACGUCUACGUCGACGUCACCCCAAACACAUACACGUCGGACAUGAAAGUAGUUGACCCAGCUGAGACAAAAGAAACUGGGUACACGGGAUUCGCCCGGCGCAGGAUGACCUGUGGCAAAAACAUGGCAUCAGGCCUUGCCGAGGCACAUAAAAUGCUCAAAAACCAUGAUUAUCACAACGGCAUAAUCUUGUUCUUCUCUGAUGGAUUGAUAAACAAGGGCGACUUUUUUGAAGGAACCGACAACUUCAUCUCCAAAGUGCCUGUCCACACAUUUACUGUCGGUGGUGACACAUAUAACCAUGAUCUCCAAGCCAUUGCAGCAAAUUCUCCAGGUGGGACGUUCAACGCAAUUCCAGUUCCAGAGAGACCACAUCUCUCAGUGCCCUUCUCGAAACUACUGGAUAGCCUCCUUAGCGGCACAAUGGAGGACAGAAAUCAUCAAUAG
Molecule: ribosomal RNA, 4485 nt
Filed under: Triticum aestivum (bread wheat)
Lineage: Eukaryota; Viridiplantae; Streptophyta; Magnoliopsida; Poales; Poaceae
Description: partial small subunit ribosomal RNA
Source: RNAcentral